UCAAAGUAUGUAUCGGAGGUUACGAAACCGCUUGGAUAAUUUGCAGAAGAGGUACAGAAGCUUAUCGGAAAGACGUCCGUCAACUUGGAAAGCUUCAACAACUAACUUUGCGAAGCUGUGAAUACGACAAGGUCAUAAGUGCACAGAUACGAGAGGUGAUUGACAUGUGCUACUGGGAUGCGACCAAUUGGAAGCUCAGAGUCUCGGAAAUACGACAACAGCUAGAGCAGGCGUGGAUCUCAACCAACGAUUGGGAUACCCGUGUGUAGAGUGAGCCAGCACAGCAAGUCAGCCUCCAAGAUACGUCACAGAUAGAGCAUGCGCAAAGCGCUUUUAAAACACACUUGUAGUAUAGUACACAUAUUGUAUUGGUAACUAUUAAUCAAACGGAAAAAAGAAAUUGGCCUAGAUACAAAUACCUGAUGCGAAUUGGUAUCAGCGGAAGACUUAACGCACUUGAAUCACAUGCAUAUAUCAUUUAUUGCUGUAAGAUUUCGUAUAGCAUUAUUCACUGUUAAUUAGGCGUUAAUCAGAUCCAGACUAGAAUACGCAUCUGUAGCAUUUGCUAGCCUGCCUAAGUACAUCAACUAAAUGUCCAAAAAGGGCACUUGGGAUAGUGUGGUCGCAUAUUUCUUUCAAAGAUGCAUUAGAAUACUUAGGGUUAUCCUAACUGGGAGUAAGGCGCAAAAACAAGUGCAGCAAAUUUAUUGAAUAAAAAGAUUUUUGGCACCCAAUCUUUUCCUUGAUUUAAUCGUGUUGUGAAGAAUUGUUGAUGUCAUUAAGACCCGGUACAUCUACUUCUAAGUUGCCAACUAGCACGAAUAGGUUCUCUGACUUUGUAACGGUCAAGUUUAAGCGUUAUCGGUAGUUUAUUACGAAUAUAUAUUACAAUUGUAGUUUGUCUUGUAUUUCUUAGUGUCAUUGUACGUGUCUAGCCUACAAUUCAAGCUUUAAGAUUGCUAAGGGCUGAGAUACACCAUAUAUCUAUCUAUCUAUCUAUUUAUCUAUCUAUCCAUCUAUAUAUCCAUCUAUACUCAAUAAAAAGACGUCAAAAAUA
This is a long non-coding RNA of Nematostella vectensis (starlet sea anemone), 1057 nucleotides long. RefSeq lists it as uncharacterized. The record is from RefSeq and is a predicted model, not a curated record. Lineage: Eukaryota; Metazoa; Cnidaria; Anthozoa; Actiniaria; Edwardsiidae. The transcript is spliced from 2 exons.